CGCCUACGGGAGGCAGCAGUGAGGAAUAUUGGUCAAUGGGAGAGAUCCUGAACCAGCCAAGCCGCGUGAGGGAAGACGGCUCUAUGGGUUGUAAACCUCUUUUGUCGGAGAACAAAACCCGGGACGAGUCCCGGACUGCGUGUAUCCGAAGAAAAAGCAUCGGCUAACUACGUGCCAGCAGCCGCGGUAAUACGUAGGGGGCAAGCGUUAUCCGGAUUUACUGGGUGUAAAGGGAGCGUAGACGGCUGUGCAAGUCUGAAGUGAAAUGCCGGGGCCCAACCCCGGAACUGCUUUGGAAACUGUAC
This 305-nucleotide ribosomal RNA is filed under the name uncultured bacterium. RNAcentral describes it as "bacterial SSU rRNA". It matches the Rfam family "Bacterial small subunit ribosomal RNA", at positions 336 to 638 of the family's 1533-position model. The record is from RNAcentral.